AGAAGAUUAGCAUGGCUCUAGCGCGAUUGGAAUGACACAGAGAAGAUUAGUGUGGGCUUGGCGCAAGGAUAACUACGUACAAAUCGAGAAAUGACCCAAAUUAUU
Molecule: small nuclear RNA, 105 nt
Filed under: Nicotiana attenuata
Lineage: Eukaryota; Viridiplantae; Streptophyta; Magnoliopsida; Solanales; Solanaceae
Source: RNAcentral